UUUCCGUAGGUGAACCUGCGGAAGGAUCAUUC
Molecule: ribosomal RNA, 32 nt
Filed under: Eimeria acervulina
Lineage: Eukaryota; Apicomplexa; Conoidasida; Eucoccidiorida; Eimeriidae
Also listed under: 16 other names
Description: partial 18S ribosomal RNA
Source: RNAcentral